Molecule: ribosomal RNA, 251 nt
Filed under: uncultured prokaryote
Description: partial 16S rRNA
Rfam family: Bacterial small subunit ribosomal RNA
Source: RNAcentral
ACGGAGGGCGCAAGCGUUAAUCGGAAUUACUGGGCGUAAAGCGUGCGUAGGCUGUUUGAUAAGUCAGGCGUGAAAGCCCUCGGCUCAACCGGGGAACUGCGCUUGAUACUGCCGGACUCGAGUCCCGGAGAGGGAGACGGAAUUCCAGGUGUAGGGGUGAAAUCCGUAGAUAUCUGGAGGAACACCGAUGGCGAAGGCAGCCUCCUGGACAGGUACUGACGCUGAGGCACGAAAGCGUGGGGAGCAAACAG